RNAcentral lists this ribosomal RNA (1561 nucleotides) under Dermanura bogotensis (Bogota fruit-eating bat). RNAcentral's name for it is "partial 16S ribosomal RNA". It matches the Rfam family "Bacterial large subunit ribosomal RNA". The record is from RNAcentral. Lineage: Eukaryota; Metazoa; Chordata; Mammalia; Chiroptera; Phyllostomidae.
CCGUACUUAGCCCUAAAAAAAAUAAAAUACAACUAUAAAUUAAAAUUAAACUAAAACAUUCACCACACAUAACAGUAUAGGAGAUAGAAAGUUUCACUAGGCGCUAUAGAGAAAGUACCGCAAGGGAAUAAUGAAAGAAUACACUAAAGCAAUAAACAGCAAAGCUUACCCCUUGUACCUUUUGCAUAAUGAUUUAACUAGACAUAACUUAGCAAAGAGAACUUAAGUUAAUACCCCCGAAACCAGACGAGCUACUUAUAAGCAGCUUUAUAGAGCAGACUCAUCUAUGUGGCAAAAUAGUGAGAAGACUAAUAAGUAGAGGUGAAAAGCCUAUCGAGCCUGGUGAUAGCUGGUUGUCCAACAAAGAAUUUUAGUUCUGACUUAAAUCUGCCUAUAAAAACUUUAAUUCUACUGCAGACUUAAGAUAUAAUCUAAAGGGGGACAGCCCUUAAGAUACAGGUAAAACCUUAACUAGAGAGUAAGCAUACAAAUACACCAUAGUGGGCCUAAAAGCAGCCAUCAAUAAAGAAAGCGUUCAAGCUCAACAACCAAACAAUCUCAAUUACUAUAAUUAACACCAACUCCUAGUAAUAAAAUUGGACUACUCUAUAUCUAUAUAGAAGAACUACUGUUAAUAUGAGUAACAAGAAUUUAAUUCUCCUAGCACAAGCGUAUACCAGAACGAAUACUCACUGGUAGUUAACGAACAUAAAGCAAACUUACCAACAAGUUCUUUUCCUAUUUACGUUAACCCAACACAGGAGUGCCUCAAGGAAAGAUUAAAAGGAGUAAAAGGAACUCGGCAAACACAAACCCCGCCUGUUUACCAAAAACAUCACCUCUAGCAUAACUAGUAUUAGAGGCACUGCCUGCCCAGUGACAUACGUUCAACGGCCGCGGUAUCCUGACCGUGCAAAGGUAGCAUAAUCACUUGUUCUCUAAAUAAGGACUUGUAUGAAUGGCCACACGAGGGUUUUACUGUCUCUUUCUCCCAAUCAGUGAAAUUGACCUCUCCGUGAAGAGGCGGAGAUAUCUUAAUAAGACGAGAAGACCCUAUGGAGCUUCAAUUAAUUAGCCUAAUAACAAAUCAACACACACCAAAAGGAAUAAAAUAGCACUACCACUAGGCUAACAAUUUAGGUUGGGGUGACCUCGGAGUACAAAAAACCCUCCGAGCAAUUUUAACUUAGACCCACCAGUCAAAGUGCAAACACCAAAUUGAUCCAUAUUAUAAUGAUCAACGGAACAAGUUACCCUAGGGAUAACAGCGCAAUCCUAUUCAAGAGUUCCUAUCGACAAUAGGGUUUACGACCUCGAUGUUGGAUCAGGACAUCCUGAUGGUGCAGCAGCUAUCAAUGGUUCGUUUGUUCAACGAUUAAAGUCCUACGUGAUCUGAGUUCAGACCGGAGUAAUCCAGGUCGGUUUCUAUCUAUUUUAUGUUUCUCCCAGUACGAAAGGACAAGAGAAACAGGGCCCCCUUAAAAUAAGCGCCCUCCAACAAACCAGAUGAUCUAAUCUCAAUCUGCUAUGUAAUAGAAUAUACUGCCCAAGACCAGGGGCU